AAUGUUGUGCCUGAAAAAAAGGAUUACUUUGAUAGAGUAAAUUAUGUGAUUAAACCUACAUUA
Molecule: transfer RNA, 63 nt
Filed under: Pyrocoelia praetexta
Lineage: Eukaryota; Metazoa; Arthropoda; Insecta; Coleoptera; Lampyridae
Description: tRNA-Ile
Source: RNAcentral